RNAcentral lists this long non-coding RNA (658 nucleotides) under Sorghum bicolor (sorghum). RNAcentral's name for it is "long non-coding RNA (SBIC_LNC012690)". Lineage: Eukaryota; Viridiplantae; Streptophyta; Magnoliopsida; Poales; Poaceae. The record is from RNAcentral.
GGCAGUGGAUACGUCUAGGCCGGUGAGCAUGAGCACAUCGGCAAGAGUGGGAGAAGCAGGGCCAUGACCAAAAACAAAGGCAUUUAGUGUAUCUGACCAGAAAUAUGAUGCAGCUAUCAGGAGUGAUUCAUUCCUAUGCAUAUCGGCAAUGGACAACCUAAUGCAUUGGUUCAGUUUUCGCUCACCCCACUGAACCUCAUUUGAAUGGCUGACUCUCAAGAACCAAUCUUUCCAUCCUACCGUAGGAUUGGGCCAGGAACGGAAGGUAUCCUUCCACAGAUCCAGAGAAAAAUUCUCGGCUGUAAAAGGGAUUCUGUUUGUUUCUGCAUUAAUAAGAUCGGUGGGAUCUGGGUCCCCUAACGGACCAAGACAUUGGAGGUGUGGCUGAUCGGUAGGGAUGACAAUUUUAUUGGACAGAUCCUAAUGGUUUUGAAGCUAAAAGAAGAAGAAAGAAAGAAAAAGAAAAAUAUUCAGUAAAGUAAAUUGCGAAUGAACAGGGAUACAGUAAAAGCACAAGAGGUGGAAUGAAGAACUAACCUCAGGAACGGUGAAGUUGAUGGCCAUCUCCUCACAAAAAGGAUGAUCGAAGGCUUCGAGGUUGGUGAGGAAGGGGCUUUGUUGGAGUUCUUGGAGAUCUCGAACAGCGCCGCUAUCAGGA